GUGACUAUAUGUUUAACGGCCGCGGUAUUUUGACGUGCAAAGGUAGCGCAAUCACUUGUCUUUUAAAUAAAGACCUGUAUGAAUGGCAUGACGAGGGCUUAACUGUCUCCUUCUCCCGGUCAAUGAAAUUGAUCUCCCCGUGCAGAAGCGGGGAUAUUAUUAUAAGACGAGAAGACCCUGUGGAGCUUUAAAUGAUGAGAGAUUUUAUGCAACAAACCUAAAAAGGUAUAAGCGAAUUUAUACUCCCUCUAAUAUUUUUGGUUGGGGCGACCGCGGAGUAAAAAGGAACCUCCGUGAGGAAUGAGGUAAUUAACCUUAAAUCCCAGAACGACAAUUCAAAGAAACAAAAUUUUUGACCUAAAGAUCCGGCAAAGCCGAUCAACGAACCUAGUUACCCCAGGGAUAACAGCGCAAUCCCCUUCAAGAGUCCCUAUCGACAAGGGGGUUUACGACCUCGAUGUUGGAUCAGGAUAUCCUAAUGGUGUAGCCGCUAUUAAGGGUUCGUUUGUUCAAC
Molecule: ribosomal RNA, 514 nt
Filed under: Syngnathus exilis (barcheek pipefish)
Lineage: Eukaryota; Metazoa; Chordata; Actinopteri; Syngnathiformes; Syngnathidae
Description: partial 16S ribosomal RNA
Rfam family: Bacterial large subunit ribosomal RNA
Source: RNAcentral